RNAcentral lists this long non-coding RNA (220 nucleotides) under Carica papaya (papaya). Its description in RNAcentral is "long non-coding RNA (CPAP_LNC000305)". The record is from RNAcentral. Lineage: Eukaryota; Viridiplantae; Streptophyta; Magnoliopsida; Brassicales; Caricaceae.
UGCUAAUCAUAGUGGUCCUAUUAGAUAGUUUAUAAACACGACAGUACUUUGCCAAAGGUGACUUCUAACAGAUAAUUCGUGUCAUUAUUCUCGUCAGAUGGUACGUUGUCAUCCACAGGAAGCGGUGCUUUUAUGUCUUUUCAUAUCAGAUGGGGGAGAGGGAAAACAUAAAUCAUUCAGAGAUAAAAAGUCUAACGAAAUACUUGAUACAUUAUGUAUG